Triticum aestivum (bread wheat) is the source of this 1835-nucleotide long non-coding RNA. RefSeq lists it as uncharacterized. Lineage: Eukaryota; Viridiplantae; Streptophyta; Magnoliopsida; Poales; Poaceae. The transcript is spliced from 3 exons. The record is from RefSeq and is a predicted model, not a curated record.
CACUCCGCGUCCGCAACCUCUCUUUCAUGAUUAGCGCCCACCUCUCCACUCAAUCCCUUCCCCGGUAGGAACUUCCCCGGUAGGAAGUAGAGUAGGAACCCUCCCGCCGCUACUAGGGAUAUGCAAGCCACCGUCGGGGUCCUCGCGGACACACGAGAUGCCUGCCGUCACCACGCACACGAGCCACGGUGGGGGAGAGAGGGAGAAGUGACCAGCCAUGGCAAGGCGUCGGUCAUCCGGCGAGCGUGGAGAAAUUGGGACAGGGGGCGCCCGAUGUGGCGUCUGGUGGCGGGGCUAAGAAGGGGGCGGCAGAUCUGGCCGGAGCUGUGCACGUGGUGCGGCGAUUGUGGUCCCCGCGUGCUGCUCGUGGUAGGGACAAAGCGGCGGUCGCUGGCCUUAUCCGCUGCCCCUUUGAGGACUGCGUCGUGCAUGCCCCACCGAGUUCUACCAGGUCGCCGGCGGCACGCGCUCCCCUCACCCUGCCUGAUGCAAUCGGUGACUACCCUACCCGGUCGCCGGCAGACUAGACGGCCUGGGCGCGGGCGGUAGGCACCGCCAGCAGCCCAGCACUCCAAUCUCCGCCGACACCGUGGUCUAAAUGACGCCGCAGACGAGUCCCCUUAGAACGACCCAUCCUGGACGAUAUAAUAUGGUUCAAGCAUAAUCAUGGUGAUAUGAUUAUAUGGAGUAGAAGGGAGGAAGUUGUGUCUCAUCAGCAUUGUGUUCUGCAUCUAUAUAAAGCACAUCCAAGAAUCACUGUCCAAGGUCUCUCUUUCGAUUGAUAGCAUCGGUAGCAGGAUAUAACAUCAGGUUACAAGCCUUUGUGGUACAGGAAGGACCGAAGGAGGAAGUUGGUGAGAUACAGAGGGAAGUUGAAUUGGGACGAGGGAUAGAGAUACAACCAGCAAAUGCGCCGAGGAACAGUAAGCUAACUCAGUAAGUAUUCUUCAGGUGCUAUUUUCUUCACCAGUUAACUCCUUCAAGUAUGCGUUCUUGUCAUCAGUACACACAGCCUCCUAUUGCAGGUCUCUAACACUUUCGCCCAAUGGUCCGAUGCAGACUUAUACUGACAUUAUCAAGAGAAAGAAUACGUUGAUGUAGCAUAUUUGCACUGUUCAUGUACAACUGAAAGUGACUAAACUCUAUUGUUUUUUGCCCUUGCCAACUUAAUACAGUAUAGUUCCGAUUCAUCUAAAUUGAGUCAGAGAUUAAACUGACGAUUUCUUCGCAAUUGCUGCAUCAAAUCAUCUAAAAGAAACUAAAAACUUUCUUAUCCUUCUUAUCCGACUAAUAAUAUCCAUUUUCAUUUUUUUAUUAUAUACUCAUAUUUGUUGUUGGUUGUAGUCUUCUUUUCUUAACUUUUUUACACUAGAGUACCAUGCCUUUUUUUGUCCAUUGGAAAGGCUUUGUACUACUUAAUGUUAUAGGCCAGGUGUUUGUGUUUUACCCCAACUGAUAUAUGUCAUAUAUAUAUAUACCAGGAAAUAAGUUUUUUUCCUUUGUAUUAUUCUUGUGUUAUGAAGGUAUAAGAAUGGAUGAAUGGCCACAAAGAUCAAAUAGUGAUAAUUAAUUGCCAAAAAAAGCUUCAGGACAACACUAGAUAUUGUCAUGUUUCAAAACCAUAAUAUGAUUUAUUCUUGCAUUCUCAAGGUUCAGACAAGAGGCGGGCUAAUUCAAAUAAAGAAAUAGAUCCCAUGAGAAAAAACAUCUAAAACAUUGUGUACAAAGAUGUGAAUAUGUACCAAGAUGUGGGAUGAAUACGUGUUUUUUUCUUACUUCAUACCAAUUAAGCCAUUUUAUUAUUUCAUCUUUUUAGUGGAUAUAUUUCUUAUCUC